ACUGAGUCUUGUAUUGGAUGAUGGGAAUCUAAACCCCUUCCAGAGUAUCAAUUGGAGGGCAAGUCUGGUGCCAGCAGCCGCGGUAAUUCCAGCUCCAAUAGCGUAUAUUAAACUUGUUGCAGUUAAAAAGCUCGUAGUUGAAUUUCUGCUGUUUCGUUGACUGCGUUUGGCGUUUGUCAUCGUUGCGGCUUGGUUGGGUUUCGAUUAUUCGUUUCCCGGCGUUUACUUUGAGAAAAUUAGAGUGCUUGAAGCAGGCUUUUGCCUUGAAUACUUUAGCAUGGAAUAACGGAGUAGGACUUUGGUUCUAUUUUGUUGGUUUUAGGAGCCAGAGUAAUGGUUAAUAGGAACAGUUGGGGGCAUUCGUAUUUGACUGUCAGAGGUGG
This 383-nucleotide ribosomal RNA is filed under the name Theileria equi. RNAcentral's name for it is "SSU rRNA". It matches the Rfam family "Eukaryotic small subunit ribosomal RNA", at positions 497 to 914 of the family's 1831-position model. Lineage: Eukaryota; Apicomplexa; Aconoidasida; Piroplasmida; Theileriidae. The record is from RNAcentral.